AUGUAUGUAUGUAUGCAUGCAUGCAUGCAUGCAUGCAUGUAUCUAU
This is a microRNA precursor of Notamacropus eugenii (tammar wallaby), 46 nucleotides long. The record is from Ensembl. NCBI's taxonomy places the organism in Eukaryota, Metazoa, Chordata, Mammalia, Diprotodontia, Macropodidae.